CGGAGGGUGCAAGCGUUAUCCGGAUUCACUGGGUUUAAAGGGUGUGUAGGCGGGUAUUUAAGUCAGUGGUGAAAUCUCCGAGCUCAACUCGGAAACUGCCAUUGAUACUAUUUAUCUUGAAUAUUGUUGAGGUAGGCGGAAUAUGUCAUGUAGCGGUGAAAUGCUUAGAUAUGACAUAGAACACCGAUUGCGAAGGCAGCUUGCUAACAAUUAUUGACGCUGAGGCACGAAAGCGUGGGGAUCAAACAGGAUUAGAUACCCUGGUAGUCCACGCCCUAAACGAUGAUUACUGGACAUUUGCGAUAUACAGUGAGUGUCUGAGCGAAAGCAUUAAGUAAUCCACCUGGGAAGUACGUCCGCAAGGAUG
Molecule: ribosomal RNA, 367 nt
Filed under: uncultured organism
Description: bacterial SSU rRNA
Rfam family: Bacterial small subunit ribosomal RNA
Source: RNAcentral